AGAGUUUGAUCCUGGCUCAGGAUAAACGCUGGCGGCGUGCCUAACACAUGCAAGUCGAACGCCCCUUCGCAAGAAGGGAGUGGCGGACGGGUGAGGAACACGUGGGUAUCUGCCUUGAGGUGAGGAAUACCAGCGAGAAAUCGCUGACAAUACCGCAUACGUUUCGCAAGAAACAAAGUCGCAAGACGCCACAAGAUGAG
This 200-nucleotide ribosomal RNA is filed under the name uncultured bacterium. RNAcentral describes it as "partial 16S ribosomal RNA". It matches the Rfam family "Bacterial small subunit ribosomal RNA", at positions 8 to 229 of the family's 1533-position model. The record is from RNAcentral.